GGAAUAUUGGACAAUGGGGGCAACCCUGAUCCAGCAAUGCCGCGUGUGUGAAGAAGGCCUGAGGGUUGUAAAGCACUUUUAGUUAUGAGGAAAUGUUGUUUGUUAAUAGCAGAUAGCUUUGACGUUAGUAACAGAAAAAGCACCGGCUAACUCUGUGCCAGCAGCCGCGGUAAUACAGAGGGUGCAAGCGUUAAUCGGAAUGACUGGGCGUAAAGGGCGCGUAGGUGGUUAUUUAAGUUAGAUGUGAAAUCCCUGGGCUUAACCUAGGACCUGCAUUUAAUACUGGAUGACUAGAGUACAGGAGGGGGCAGUGGAAUUUCCGGUGUAGCGGUGAAAUGCGUAGAUAUCGGAAGGAACACCAGUGGCGAAGGCGACUGCCUGGCCUGAUACUGACACCGAGGCGCGAAAGCGUGGGUAGCGA
This 421-nucleotide ribosomal RNA is filed under the name uncultured bacterium. RNAcentral describes it as "bacterial SSU rRNA". It matches the Rfam family "Bacterial small subunit ribosomal RNA", at positions 358 to 771 of the family's 1533-position model. The record is from RNAcentral.